UAGGGAAUCUUCCGCAAUGGACGCAAGUCUGACGGAGCAACGCCGCGUGAGUGAAGAAGGAUUUCGGUUCGUAAAACUCUGUUGUUAGAGAAGAACAGCGCAUAGAGUAACUGUUAUGCGUGUGACGGUAUCUAACCAGAAAGCCACGGCUAACUACGUGCCAGCAGCCGCGGUAAUACGUAGGUGGCAAGCGUUGUCCGGAUUUAUUGGGCGUAAAGCGAGCGCCGGCGGUCAAUUAAGUCUGCUGUGAAAGCCCCCGGCUCAACCGGGGAGGGUCAUUGGAAACUGGUUGACUUGAGUGCAGAAGAGGAGAGUGGAAUUCCAUGUGUAGCGGUGCAAUGCGUAGCUAUAUGGAGGAACACCAGUGGCGAAGGCUACUCUCUGGUCUGUAACUGACGCUGAGGCUCGAAAGCGUGGGUAGCAAACAGG
This 429-nucleotide ribosomal RNA is filed under the name Bacteroidota bacterium. RNAcentral describes it as "Bacteroidetes bacterium partial 16S ribosomal RNA". It matches the Rfam family "Bacterial small subunit ribosomal RNA", at positions 355 to 776 of the family's 1533-position model. Lineage: Bacteria; Pseudomonadati; Bacteroidota. The record is from RNAcentral.